Long non-coding RNA from Arabidopsis lyrata subsp. lyrata, 1666 nucleotides. RefSeq lists it as uncharacterized. Lineage: Eukaryota; Viridiplantae; Streptophyta; Magnoliopsida; Brassicales; Brassicaceae. The transcript has 6 exons. The record is from RefSeq and is a predicted model, not a curated record.
UGCCACAUCAGCAACCCAAAAAACUGUGGCCACGUAGCUCUCUUUACAAGUUCUUUCUUUUGUUUUGUCUUUUGAAAUUCACUUGCCAAUUAGAUAAGUUUGAACGACUCGGCUUCCUCAUAAAGUCAUAAUCUCCCUUUUUCUUCGUAACAAAACCUCUCAUCACCUUCCUCUCAUCAAAUAAUUUCGCUCGGAUUGAAGAUGCGAAUGGAGUUUCAUUCAUCACCGCAACGAGCCCAGCGACCAGAAUUUUUGAAGGGAUAUCAAGAGUGUUCUUCAGUCCACCCUAGGCAUAAGAGCAUUUAAAACUUGGAGUUAGAAAGACAAAUAUGUUUUAUGUAGAACUAUCCGCGCAUCUGUGUUGUAAAAACAAGCACACCGAAGCUUUGAAGAUGUGUGACGGUGGCAGGGUCAUGCAUGUGUAGAAGAGGAGGCCAUACAAAGAGUCGUUGAUGUUGCGUUACAAUAUGAACAAAUAAUCGGAAUUGUCAACUUAACACAUUGAUCUUCCAAGGCUUACAAAAGUUGUUGUUGGUAAGCUACAUUGACUGCAUCUUAUUUUGACCAAUAGAGCAGAGAGUUUAGGCCUAUUUCUUUAACAUUUGAUCAUGAGGUAUUACACUUUAUUAUCUACCAUUGGUUGUUUCCCAUGACACAAAGCGUUCUUUUCAGUCUUUUAUUGUAAAGGUAAUAGGGAUUCUUUACUUUCUCCCUGCCUUGGGACUCUUAAUGUUAUUAUGGACAGUCUAUUGUGACUUUAGAAUAGGUUAAAUAAUACGUUAGUGUUUCCCUACAUUAUGAAAUCCAUAUAUACGUUUGACCGGGGAAAAGGGGAUGAGAGUUGAUACAAGCAUUCACUAAAAAGGUCAAAUGUAUAGUUUCUUCUCUAAUCUUUCAAUUAUUUUAUAUGCUGGUACCGGUGAUAUGUGGGUUUAAUGCUACGUUAAUGGGUUCUCAGACUCGAUUCAUAAUCUCUGUUUUCUUUCUCAAAAUUAGCAUGCUUUAUUGAAAACGUGGAUGAGCUAAAAUCAAAGGGUGUUGAUGUGAUCAUCUUCUUUGCCGAUAAGUAUGAUUGUUUCAAUGUCAGGUAAGUUUCAGUUACACUAGCCUUCUCACAUUGUCACGUAAGUGUGAUCAUUUUGUUGAGUCUUUUGCAGAAGCAUAUGAAGAGAGUUGGCAUUUGACCGCCCCGGUCGCCCGUUUCAGUUACACUACCCUUCUCACAUUGUCACGUGAGAAAUUAUCAGUUCAGCUGUAGGAAACAGAGGAGUACAAGGAAUAUCAAUUUCCCACAAAUUUGUAUACAAUUGUGAGAGGUUUGAUUUAAAUUGUCGGACGAACAAAAUCUACAUGUAGAUGUAAUACGAGAUCAUGGCACUGAUAAUAGGAAACUUUUUGGAGAAGGAUGUAAUAGUACCAAAAUGAGAAGUAAUGAAAUGGAAAUCAAAGAGAAAAAAUUAUGCCCCCAAAAAAGGAUGGUUAAGACGUGAACCGGUGCACAUUUAUUCGAGGAUAUGUGCAACAUUACAACGAGGCACUUACAAACUCAAAGUUUAAUGUUAUUUCUCUGCUUGGAUUUGAAAAGACUUUAGAGAUUGAUCAAAAUUUAUCAAAAGAAUUGCGGAAAAUAGCUCUUUAGUAUUCAUCAAAAUUCAUGUCUUUCUCA